This 1046-nucleotide long non-coding RNA is filed under the name Daucus carota (carrot). RNAcentral describes it as "long non-coding RNA (DCAR_LNC006985)". The record is from RNAcentral. Lineage: Eukaryota; Viridiplantae; Streptophyta; Magnoliopsida; Apiales; Apiaceae.
AUGAGGAGGUGGUUCGAGUUAUUUUUCCGCAAGACCCCGCCUGUAUUAUCAAUUUAUCAUCACCGACUCACCGUAGUCAAGGCAAUUUCAAAGCGUAGAUUCUGCACGAAUGGGCUUCAGCCCAAUGACCAGCUUGGGCGUGUGAGACGGGCCUCUAACAGAAUCUGACAGACGUGAUUUUCAUCAAAAAAAAAUCUAAAAAUCGGCGAUAUUUCAUGUAUUACUUGUGGCACCUUUCAAGGGGAAAAUGUGUGAGAGCAUAUAUGUUUUACGUGCAAAUCUAUGUCUUAAAAUCAGAAGUCUUACUCCUACUGAAAUACAAUACUAGUAAAUGUAUAUCCUGAGAGCAUACCUUACUGUGUUAGAUCUAGCAGUAUCAGCUUCUAAGUUUUUGGAGGCCGAAAUCAAUUGGUUACGGUACAAAACUGGCAUGCGUUGUUGAUCAGAUAAGAAGUUUAUGAAUUUUGUUUUUUCAGUUUUGUGGCGUCUUGGUAAAUUGGCCAUGUUGGUUUCAGGUAUUCUCGAUGACAGUAAUCCCAAAAGUUAAUAAUCUGGUAGUGUCCUCAAUCAUCCAACGACCUGGAAAAGUGCUGCGGUAUGAUUUCUCUACUUAUUAGUGAUAUAUGUUGUUCUUAUUUAUCGUGCUUUUUCCCCCUGCUUCAUUGGUCACAAAUUUGCUAUAACUGGGAACGGGAGCGAUUAAAACUGUUACCAAUUAUUCUCUAUUAACUGGAAUUUAAAGUUGUGUUAUGUUGAACUGAAAGGAUUUAUAAAGGAAAGGAAUGAGAUUUGAACUAUACAACGAGUAUAUGUUUAAAGGUAUCAUUCCUUUCCCCAUUCUAUUCCUAACAACUUAAUUAAAGCUCAAAUCCCCCGUUAUGUGAAGGAAUGCUCUAUUCUCCCUUAUACCCAUUUUCUUCUCAAAUCCUAUUAUCAGAAUUUUUGCUCAUUUUUUGUUUUAAACUUCCCUCUUACCUCCAUUGUUUUCCUUUAUUCCCACUCAUUCCAUUCUCUGCAACCAAACACAACAUAAGCUUCCAUUAAGU